This 447-nucleotide ribosomal RNA is filed under the name uncultured bacterium. Its description in RNAcentral is "bacterial SSU rRNA". It matches the Rfam family "Bacterial small subunit ribosomal RNA", at positions 355 to 825 of the family's 1533-position model. The record is from RNAcentral.
UGGGGAAUAUUGGACAAUGGGCGAAAGCCUGACCCAGCAACGCCGCGUGAAGGAUGAAGUAUUUCGGUAUGUAAACUUCGAAAGAAUGGGAAGAAUAAAUGACGGUACCAUUUAUAAGCUCCGGCUAACUACGUGCCAGCAGCCGCGGUAAUACGUAGGGAGCAAGCGUUGUUCGGAUUUACUGGGCGUAAAGGGCGCGUAGGCGGCGCGGUAAGUCACUUGUGAAAUCUCUGAGCUUAACUCAGAACGGCCAAGUGAUACUGCAGUGCUAGAGUGCAGAAGGGGCAAUCGGAAUUCUUGGUGUAGCGGUGAAAUGCGUAGAUAUCAAGAGGAACACCUGAGGUGAAGACGGGUUGCUGGGCUGACACUGACGCUGAGGCGCGAAAGCCAGGGGAGCAAACGGGAUUAGAUACCCACGUAGUCCCUGAGCGGGCUGGCAAGGCGCAU